CAGUCGCCGCGGUAAUACGAAGGGUGCAAGCGUUAAUCGGAAUUACUGGGCGUAAAGCGUGCGUAGGCGGUGAGUUAAGUCUGCUGUGAAAUCCCCGAGCUUAACUUGGGAACUGCAUUUGAAACUGGCAAGCUAGAGUCUUGUAGAGGGGGGUAGAAUUCCAGGUGUAGCGGUGAAAUGCGUAGAGAUCUGGAGGAAUACCGGUGGCGAAGGCGGCCCCCUGGACAAAGACUGACGCUCAGGUGCGAAAGCGUGGGGAGCAAACAGGAUUAGAUACCCCAGUAGUCCCUGUCUCUUAUAC
Molecule: ribosomal RNA, 301 nt
Filed under: uncultured bacterium
Lineage: Bacteria
Description: partial 16S ribosomal RNA
Rfam family: Bacterial small subunit ribosomal RNA
Source: RNAcentral